This 724-nucleotide ribosomal RNA is filed under the name uncultured bacterium. RNAcentral describes it as "bacterial SSU rRNA". It matches the Rfam family "Bacterial small subunit ribosomal RNA", at positions 143 to 882 of the family's 1533-position model. The record is from RNAcentral.
AUAACAAUGAGAAAUCAUUGCUAAUACCGCAUAUGCCGAGAGAAUCACAUGGUACAAUCGGGAAAAGAGUAAUCUGCUAGAAGAUGGCCUUGCGUCUGAUUAGAUAGUUGGUGGGGUAACGGCCUACCAAGUCGACGAUCAGUAGCCGGACUGAGAGGUUGAACGGCCACAUUGGGACUGAGAUACGGCCCAGACUCCUACGGGAGGCAGCAGUCGGGAAUAUUGCGCAAUGGAGGAAACUCUGACGCAGUGACGCCGCGUAUAGGAAGAAGGUUUUCGGAUUGUAAACUAUUGUCGUUAGGGAAGAGAAAGGACAGUACCUAAGGAGGAAGCUCCGGCUAACUACGUGCCAGCAGCCGCGGUAAUACGUAGGGAGCGAGCGUUAUCCGGAAUUAUUGGGUGUAAAGGGUGCGUAGACGGGAAGAUAAGUUAGUUGUGAAAUCCCUCGGCUUAACUGAGGAACUGCAACUAAAACUGUUUUUCUUGAGUGCAGGAGAGGUAAGUGGAAUUCCUAGUGUAGCGGUGAAAUGCGUAGAUAUUAGGAGGAACACCAGUGGCGAAGGCGACUUACUGGACUGUAACUGACGUUGAGGCACGAAAGUGUGGGGAGCAAACAGGAUUAGAUACCCUGGUAGUCCACACCGUAAACGAUGGAUACUAGGUGUAGGAGAUAUUAAGUCUUCUGUGCCGUCGCAAACGCAGUAAGUAUCCCACCUGGGGAGUA